UGCACUUUCACAAACCUUAGCCGCCACCGUCGUCACCGCCCCCACCUCCGUUUGCUGCGUUUGUGUUUUCGUCAACCUCCGCCGCCCAUCGGUUUCUUUCUUCGAUCGUCUUCCGUCGCAUCCUUCAGUCGUGCAGCAAUGCUGUCGAUCGAGCCAGUUCUUCGUCGCGCAACCAAACGUUAAAGCCGAAUGCUAGCUAGCCGUUAAUUGUAAGUCAAGUCGUCAGCUGCUGUUCGGGUCUUCGUCAAGUCACUCGAGCCGCUUCCAAUCUUAGAUCCAAGUCGCGUAACUCGAGCCGCACGUGGAGACGAGUGAGCCGAGUUCCUGGUCAGCGAGCCGUCCUUUGGUAGAGGGGUAGAACAUGUGAACAUGUGGGAGGAGACAUGUUUCAGAAUGUUCCAAAUGGAGAUGGUAUUUUCACGAAGUCGUCAUCAUCAACAUACUACUAGUCAUAAACAGAAUACCGGUCAUCAUCAUCAACAUACUACCAGUCAUUAGCAUAGACGUGGAAGCAAAACUGAGUCCCCAUAUGACAUGCCACAGAUCCUUAUCUGUCACUCGUCAGGUAUGUAUUUUAUGAUACUGUAACGACCCAACUCUUUAUAUUCUAGCUCCAAUCCUUAA
This is a long non-coding RNA of Cucumis melo (muskmelon), 624 nucleotides long. RefSeq lists it as uncharacterized. The record is from RefSeq and is a predicted model, not a curated record. The transcript is spliced from 3 exons. Lineage: Eukaryota; Viridiplantae; Streptophyta; Magnoliopsida; Cucurbitales; Cucurbitaceae.